AGUUGAAUUAUCAUAAGAUGGAAUAUUUUUAAUAAAGAAUAUAAACCAGGAAAGCAUGAUUUUAUAAAAGAGAUUUGUUUCUAUCUUUGGCUGGAACGAGUGCGGCCAGACUUGAGUCUAGUACAUUCUUAAAUUUCCAGCUUGUCUGGAUAAUUAAUUUGACGACGUAAAUUAGUAAAAGAAUUAGGUUGUAGCUCCAGCGUUUGGGGAGAAUGCUAUACUUGAGAGUUCUUCCUGAUGCGACAAUAGGGAUUCCAUUGAAAUAGAUAAUUAGUCAUUAUGACCUAGUUUAUAGGUAUUUAGAUACAAUUAUUUUAUUUCUCAAUUAAAAUAGAAAUACAGUGGGGUUGUGUUAUAUUUGUACAUUAUUUGAUUAUUUUGUAGAUUUUUAUGUAUAAUGUGUCAAUAUAUUUCGAGAUAUCCCAGAAGAGCAGGGAAUAAUAAUAAAUUCAGAAAAUUGAUUUUUCUGUUUAAGAUAAAUAAUAUGUCUCUGUCGAAUAUGAAGCAGUUUGGUAAGUAAGGUCGGAAGUUAAACGUGCCAGUUCUAUGACGCCGGUAAGUUAUAUGAGUCACCCGUCCGGGCUGAAAUUUAUUUAAAGUUUUUCUGUACAAAAACAAUUUGUCCGCUCAUAUUUUAAACGGCUCAAGGAAAUAUAUUUAAAAUGAUUUUUAAUUUUUAAAAGUUGUUUAAGUUUUAUAUGAUUAAAAUAGUAGUAAUGAGAAUAUCGUAACAAGAGCUUCUGUAAAGUUAUUUGUUUAAUUUUAAAAAUUAUUUAGUGGACUUCACAUUUUAUUAAAUAUUGUUAAAGGGUUAACUAUCGAUUAAAUUUCGAAUGUUAAUUGAAUUAGGAUGAUUUUUAAAUAUUAGAUAUUAAAUCUCGAAUAGGGGGUUUGAUAAUGAAUUUAAGAUGUUAUUUAAAUGUGGUUAUUUUAUAUAUGUUUUAAAUUCGAUUUAAUUUAAAUAAAGAACUUUUUGGUCUAUGGUAUUCUUAGCUUUUAAAGUAAUGUUUAUAUAAUAAUAAUUAUUAAUAAGGUGUAAUUGAUGAUAUUAUAUAAUCGAGAAGAAUUAAGCCCUUAUUAUUUAAGUAUAAUAAUUAAAUUAUUUGGGACUAUGUGUUCCAUGUUGUAAGUUAGACGAAAGAUGAUUUUAUUAAAAGUAAUAUAAAGUUAUAAGGGGAAGCCAUGAUUAAUUGAUAAUAAUGUUUUCAAAUAAGUGUAUAAAUAUGAUUUUGUUAUUUAAGAAAUUUUAAUGAAAGAAUUUUAUAAAAUUUGUUUUUGUUGAAAAAAUAAUUUAAAUGGGAA
This 1302-nucleotide ribosomal RNA is filed under the name Ruspolia dubia. RNAcentral's name for it is "LSU rRNA". Lineage: Eukaryota; Metazoa; Arthropoda; Insecta; Orthoptera; Tettigoniidae. The record is from RNAcentral.